GGACAAUGGCCUGACUCAGACGUUGCUGCGUCCCACACAAAUGCUCUAUGCGACCUCGUCCUGGCCGAGAAAGACUCGAUCACAGCACUGAACAUCACAGGCAUUGCUGAUCUAAGAAACUGACUGAAGGGAUGAAGUAGGAGAUGGGACACUUUCGUCUGAGCUCACAGAUCAUCAUAAAGACUCCGGGCCUUCUCCUGAAUUCUGCUUGAACUCACUGGAGCACAGCGUUGAUUUUGAUCCUUCAGCCAAAUGAAUAACAGUUUCUCAACCUGGCCAUUAAGUCCAACAUGCUGCUUAGUUGUCACAGCUGAUUGCAUAGGAGCUGAACCCUUAACACGUUCCUGAAUCCGUUCCUUGUUUUGCAGGAUGGUUGAAACAGUCGAUCGGGCGAUAGCCAAAGCUUUACCAAUUUCAGUUGGCGUCUCACCUCUUUCGAACCUCUUAAUCAUUUCAAUUUUUGUAUCCAAACUAAUUCUUGUAUAUUUCCUAGAAGAAGAAACACCACUUGCACCAGAUUUCCGCUUUUCUGCCAUUAUUAUGGGCAAGCAAACACUAAAUUUUAAGAAAAAGUUUGGAAGUGCAAAGAUCCACCACGUAAAAAUGGCGUCGAAACAGCAACUGAGCACCUUAAGUUAUGGAGAUGGGCGGCAUAGAAAGUCGCUGUGCAUGUAUGAACUUGUUCACCGGCAUUGCAUUGCGUCCUCUCAAGCACAAGAAACCCAAAACUGAUGUUGGAAAGUCGAAACAGGAUGUCAGUCUAUAAACGGCUUAAGUGCCAUUCAUCAUAACUUGAACGUCGUAAAGUCGAGGCCUGCCUGCAUAACAGAAUAGGAAAAGACACCAGAUGUUACCAGUUCUGGAGCAGAGACUCAGCAGAAGUGUCUCAUGAAAAGAGGAUCCCAGCUUUCGAAACUGGACAGGUACACUGUUGGAUGAGAAAUACUUUAUUAGACAGGAAAAUAACUGGUAAAUGAGU
Mauremys reevesii (Reeves's turtle) is the source of this 979-nucleotide long non-coding RNA. RefSeq lists it as uncharacterized. Lineage: Eukaryota; Metazoa; Chordata; Testudines; Geoemydidae. The transcript is spliced from 3 exons. The record is from RefSeq and is a predicted model, not a curated record.